UUAUUUAAAAUAGUUGCCUCUCCUCCUUUUAGUAAAGGCAAGACACAAAAUGCUCAUUAAAGCAAUUUAACAUAGUGGCCCUGUCCGAUAUAGAGCCAGAUGCUGUGGUAAGGCACGGAGGUAGCUCAUUACGGAUCUCACCGGUGGAUAUAGAUUUUUUGGCUUUCCAAAAUUUCCUAGGAUUAUUUAGGUUUUCUGUGGUAACUGACAAAUAGUACUUGGACUUAGCACUUUUGACAUGUGAAGUGAAGCUAUUCCUUAGCUGCCUAAAACGCAGCCAUUCUACCUCUGAGCCUGAUUUCCUAGCCUUUGCCCAGGCCUUGUUUCUCUCAUGCAGGAGACUAGACAGUUCAGCAGAAAACCAAGGAUUGUCACGUCACUUUGCUCUAAAUUUACGCAGGGGUGCAUGUCUA
Long non-coding RNA from Notothenia coriiceps (black rockcod), 413 nucleotides. RefSeq lists it as uncharacterized. The record is from RefSeq and is a predicted model, not a curated record. The transcript has 2 exons. NCBI's taxonomy places the organism in Eukaryota, Metazoa, Chordata, Actinopteri, Perciformes, Nototheniidae.